AGAGUUUGAUCCUGGCUCAGAUUGAACGCUGGCGGCAUGCCUUACACAUGCAAGUCGAACGGUAACGCGGGGCAACCUGGCGACGAGUGGCGAACGGGUGAGUAAUACAUCGGAACGUGCCCAGUAGUGGGGGAUAGCCCGGCGAAAGCCGGAUUAAUACCGCAUACGACCUACGGGUGAAAGCGGGGGAUCGCAAGACCUCGCGCUAUUGGAGCGGCCGAUGUCAGAUUAGCUAGUUGGUGGGGUAAAGGCCUACCAAGGCGACGAUCUGUAGCUGGUCUGAGAGGACGACCAGCCACACUGGGACUGAGACACGGCCCAGACUCCUACGGGAGGCAGCAGUGGGGAAUUUUGGACAAUGGGGGCAACCCUGAUCCAGCCAUGCCGCGUGCGGGAAGAAGGCCUUCGGGUUGUAAACCGCUUUUGUCGGGGAAGAAACGGUCUGCGCUAAUACCGCGGACUAAUGACGGUACCCGAAGAAUAAGCACCGGCUAACUACGUGCCAGCAGCCGCGGUAAUACGUAGGGUGCAAGCGUUAAUCGGAAUUACUGGGCGUAAAGCGUGCGCAGGCGGCUUUGCAAGACAGAUGUGAAAUCCCCGGGC
RNAcentral lists this ribosomal RNA (603 nucleotides) under uncultured bacterium. RNAcentral's name for it is "bacterial SSU rRNA". It matches the Rfam family "Bacterial small subunit ribosomal RNA", at positions 8 to 608 of the family's 1533-position model. The record is from RNAcentral.